Molecule: non-coding RNA, 441 nt
Organism: Paralichthys olivaceus (Japanese flounder)
Lineage: Eukaryota; Metazoa; Chordata; Actinopteri; Pleuronectiformes; Paralichthyidae
Source: RefSeq, a predicted model, not a curated record
CUGAGACAAACAAGAAGUUAGGAGGAAGCCCCAUCUGGCAAAGAGUCGUGGAGUGUCACUAAAUGAGCAGACGUCAAGUCGCACAAUCUAAAUGUGGAAGAUUUAAGUGUAACACGAGCAACAUGAGAAGGUGCAUCGAGCCCCGGAGCCAUAAGGGGAGGAAAAGAGAAGUGCACGAGUCCAGGAUUAAACAUGAACUAAUGCUGUCGCUCGUGGAAAUUAACUCUAUGAUGACUCGAUCAAUGACUGUUCUUCAAAGACGACCAGAAGAAAGUCUGUGCUUUAGAUGUUUUCACUGCAGGUUCGUGUGCUCGUGGGUCUGCACUACAGAACGUUUCAUGUUCCCCUAUGUAAACCGUGGAAGAUUCACAAACUCUGCAGUACACGUAGACAUGUAUGAGAGACAUGAAGUGACAGAAAUUCAACAGGUCAAAAUAACAA